UGAAGACCUCAGUUCAAGAACCUUCCAGAAAUGGUAAAAAAAACAUUCAAUAUAGGCGCAACAUUAUUAGUGAGAAUGCGAGCACCAAAACAGGAGGCUGAAGAGGUUGGAAACAAACCUUUCAAAGAAAGCUUUUUGCGACAAGAUGGCGGCAGCUGCCCAGGGCAGGAGAAGUGGUGGUGGCGGAGGCAGUAGUGGGGCCAGCGGUGGUCUCAGCUGCGUGACAGGCAGUAGCCUCAGUGGCAUGUUGGCUAAGUGGAAGACGGAUGAGAAGCAUGGAAAAACUGACAAGUGGGAUGGAUCCGCUAUGAAAAACUCUGGAUGAUUCUGCCAGAAAGG
This 339-nucleotide long non-coding RNA is filed under the name Pan troglodytes (chimpanzee). RNAcentral describes it as "long non-coding RNA NONPTRT002321". The record is from RNAcentral. Lineage: Eukaryota; Metazoa; Chordata; Mammalia; Primates; Hominidae.